Molecule: unclassified non-coding RNA, 619 nt
Filed under: Hevea brasiliensis (rubber tree)
Lineage: Eukaryota; Viridiplantae; Streptophyta; Magnoliopsida; Malpighiales; Euphorbiaceae
Source: RNAcentral
GGAAAAUUUUAUAUUCAUUUUUUUCAGAAACAAGAGAAAAGCAAAAAUACAUGGUUCUAUAUUUUACCAGUCAUUAUUUUUAUAAAAAUUUUAACUUUUUAUUAAAAUUAUUUUUAAAACAAAAAAUUCAUGUCUCCUAAUCCUCCACCUCAAGAGAUGGCCAUUUCAGUCAAAAUGCCUGAUUUAACAGAAGAUGAGACGAAUUACUCAUCUGAGUCUAAUUCUGAACAAAAUUUAGCAGAUAUAACAAAUUUGCUCAUGACAACCUCAACAGGUUAUAAUGAAGGAAUCACAGAACCUAUUCAUCUAAUUAUGAACAAAAUUCUAAUUCUAAUUAACACAUAUAACACAUCUGGUCAUAGGAACAUCUACAGUUUCUAAUGAAGGAGUCACGAAAUUGUCUAUUGGAAUAGUGCAUUAGGAAUGAGAAUGCGGUUUUAGGCCACAUAUGUAGUAUGCUAGUUUGGAACUUCUUCAACUUGAGACGAUAGUGUUUUGAUUUACCAUCAGCAUCAACUAUAGAUGGCUUGACAAAUGUUCGGGUGGUCAAUUUUUGUACAAGAUCACCAAUAUCAAGGAAUCCAAUGAUAGGAAUUGUCCUAUCAGAAGCCAAAUAAAU